This 305-nucleotide ribosomal RNA is filed under the name uncultured bacterium. RNAcentral describes it as "bacterial SSU rRNA". It matches the Rfam family "Bacterial small subunit ribosomal RNA", at positions 333 to 630 of the family's 1533-position model. The record is from RNAcentral.
UUUUUCCUACGGGGGGCAGCAGUGGGGAAUAUUGGGCAAUGGGCGCAAGCCUUACCCAGCAAUACCGCGUGAGUGAAGAAGGUCUUCGGAUCGUAAACCUCUGUCAGCAGGGAAGAACGGUCACUGUGCUAAUCAGCAGUGAAUUGACGGUACCUGCAAAGGAAGCACCGGCUAACUCCGUGCCAGCAGCCGCGGUAAUACGGAGGGUGCGAGCGUUAAUCGGAAUUACUGGGCGUAAAGCGCUCGUAGGCGGUAUGUCAAGUCAAGGGCGAAAUCCCCGCGCUCAACGUGGGAACUGCCUUUGG